AUCUGGGCGGCGGAUAUCAGGAUGGCCGGCGUGCUUUCGCGGCGCGUCGGUCGUUUGAUAUAUCCGUCGCCAAUCACCCGCAGACGUCGCGACCUGUUCGCGGUCGGUCCUUGCUCGGAGGAGCCGCGUUCGAGUUCGUUGCGUGUGCGCGUUUCGGCGUGCCACGCGGCGAAGGCGCGGAUCUCUGGCUGGCCGUCGGACAGUAUGCCUAACGGUGUCCGGUGUCGUCGUCUUGUACGCGCGCGCACCGGUACCGGUCAGCGACGAAUUCUUCGGGCCUCUUUCCGACCCGUCUUGAAACACGGACCAAGGAGUCUAACAUGCGCGCGAGUCGCGGGGUGUCGAGCGUACCUCGGUACGUUCGUUACGUUGCGAAACCCGUACAUGUCGAAGGCGUAAUGAAAGUGAAUGGGGAAGAUGGUGUUCCGAGUACACGUUCCGCGAUCGCUGGUAUCGCGGCCGGACAUCCGCAUUCCCGGGGCGUCUCAACGGCCCGCCGCCGAUGCGGACAGUCGUCUCUCGGGGCGGCUGUCGGUCGGCGUCGAACCGA
RNAcentral lists this ribosomal RNA (550 nucleotides) under Aspidiella sacchari. Its description in RNAcentral is "eukaryotic LSU rRNA". Lineage: Eukaryota; Metazoa; Arthropoda; Insecta; Hemiptera; Diaspididae. The record is from RNAcentral.